UACGAAGGGGGCUAGCGUUGCUCGGAAUUACUGGGCGUAAAGCGCACGUAGGCGGCUUUCUAAGUCGGGGGUGAAAUCCUGGAGCUCAACUCCAGAACUGCCUUUGAUACUGGCGAUCUUGAGUCCGGGAGAGGUGAGUGGAACUGCGAGUGUAGAGGUGAAAUUCGUAGAUAUUCGCAAGAACACCAGUGGCGAAGGCGGCUCACUGGCCCGAUACUGGCGCUGAGGCACGAAAGCGUGGGGAGCAAACAGG
RNAcentral lists this ribosomal RNA (253 nucleotides) under uncultured bacterium. RNAcentral's name for it is "partial 16S ribosomal RNA". It matches the Rfam family "Bacterial small subunit ribosomal RNA", at positions 524 to 776 of the family's 1533-position model. The record is from RNAcentral.